Molecule: RNA transcript, 1173 nt
Organism: Solanum stenotomum
Lineage: Eukaryota; Viridiplantae; Streptophyta; Magnoliopsida; Solanales; Solanaceae
Gene name: protein PHOSPHATE-INDUCED 1-like
Exons: 1
Source: RefSeq, a predicted model, not a curated record
AAUCUCAUCUCAUUCUACGGCUCCUCUUUUAUACUCUGUUUUAAUACUCUUCAAAAGCUUCUAAUAGAAAACCAGUAAUGGCUGCUAAUAUCAUUUUGAAACUCUUUCUUGUUAUUUCCUUCUUUAAUGUGUGCUUCGCUUCAAGAAAGCUCACUGCUUUAGUGCAAGACCCACAAAUGCAGCUCUUGAAAUACCACAAGGGUGCACUUCUUUCUGGCAAAAUCUCAGUCAAUCUGAUUUGGUAUGGCAAAUUCAAGCCAUCCCAAAGAGCUAUUGUAUCUGAUUUUAUCAACUCCCUUUCUUCUUCAACUCCAUCUAAAACCAAUCCUUCUGUAGCACAAUGGUGGCUGAAAAAUACUACCAUCUCGCUAAUUCUAAGAACGCCCUUUCCCUCUCUUUGGGAAAACAACUUCUCAUUGAAAAUUAUUCCCUUGGAAAAUCACUGACCCAAAAGCAAAUCGUGCAAUUAGCAUCAAAGGGUGAACAGAAAGACGCCAUUAACGUUGUUUUGACCGCCUCUGAUGUUGCUGUUGAUGGGUUCUGUGUCAAUCGGUGUGGAACUCAUGGGGCUUCUAAGGGUGCAGUUAUUAACGGCAAGACUUACAAAUUUGCUUAUAUUUGGGUGGGUAACUCAGAGACUUUUUGUCCUGGCUACUGUGCCUGGCCAUUUCACCAACCCAUUUACGGACCACAGAGCCCACCAUUGGGUGCACCAAACAACGAUGUGGGUGUUGAUGGUAUGGUGAUUAACUUAGCUAGCUUAUUAGCUGGAACCGCUACGAACCCAUUUGGAAACGGUUACUACCAGGGCGAAGCAGAUGCGCCAUUGGAAGCUGCAUCUGCUUGCCCUGGUGUCUACGCCAAGGGCGCUUACCCAGGCUAUGCUGGAGAUUUGUUGGUGGAUAAAACAACAGGUGCAAGCUACAAUGCACAUGGUACAAACGGAAGGAAAUACUUGGUUCCUGCUUUAUAUGAUCCUGCUACAUCUUCAUGUUCAACUCUAGUCUAGAAAAAAUAAUCGUAGUAAUGUAGUACCAGUUGUACACGAAGAAGAAGAAGAAGAAGAAGCUAAUCUAGCAUAGUAAAUACUGUAAUUUUUGAUUCAUUUAUUUGUUUGAGGUUGAAAAUGGAAGAGCAAAUUGCUUCGGUUUGCUUUCACAAAUACUGUCCAAU